UGUGCGCAAUAAGAUUUUGCUA
Molecule: microRNA, 22 nt
Filed under: Triticum aestivum (bread wheat)
Lineage: Eukaryota; Viridiplantae; Streptophyta; Magnoliopsida; Poales; Poaceae
Description: tae-miR9775
Source: miRBase by way of RNAcentral